GAACGCCGUAGCAAUACGGAGCGGCAGACGGGAGAGUAACACGUGGGAACGUACCCUUUGGUUCGGAACAACCCCAGGGAAACUUGGGCUAAUACCGGAUAAGCCCUUACGGGGAAAGAUUCAUCGCCGAAGGAUCGGCCCGCGUCUGAUUAGCUAGUUGGUGGGGUAAUGGCCCACCAAGGCGACGAUCAGUAGCUGGUCUGAGAGGAUGAUCAGCCUCACUGGGACUGAGACACGGCCCAGACUCCUACGGGAGGCAGCAGUGGGGAAUAUUGGACAAUGGGCGCAAGCCUGAUCCAGCCAUGCCGCGUGGGUGAUGAAGGCCCUAGGGUUGUAAAGCCCUUUCGGCGGGGAAGAUAAUGACGGUACCCGCAGAAGAAGCCCCGGCUAACUUCGUG
RNAcentral lists this ribosomal RNA (398 nucleotides) under uncultured bacterium. RNAcentral's name for it is "bacterial SSU rRNA". It matches the Rfam family "Bacterial small subunit ribosomal RNA", at positions 64 to 507 of the family's 1533-position model. The record is from RNAcentral.